Molecule: long non-coding RNA, 372 nt
Organism: Ruditapes philippinarum (Manila clam)
Lineage: Eukaryota; Metazoa; Mollusca; Bivalvia; Venerida; Veneridae
Exons: 3
Source: RefSeq, a predicted model, not a curated record
ACCAAUCAUUUUAUAUCAUUUUCAGAGUUGACUUUGAUGGUGAAACUAUUCCUUCCCAAGAGUUUUUGACCUACUUUAUCCUAGGAGCUGAAGUUCUGAACUUUGACACAAUUCCAAAUUUGACCUUCCUGAAAGAGAAUUUUGAGAUAGUUAUGACAGAGAAAUGCCCAGCUGGUGAAGUUGUCAGAGAUGGACAGUGUAUUGAGUGUGGACCAGGUAACUAUUUCCGGUACACCGACAACACCAACACAACUGCUAUCUGCGAUGACUGCCCAUUCGGAUUUUAUCAAGACUUAAGUGGCGCGUCAAGCUGUAAACAGUGUACAACUGGACUCACAACAGAACUGAACGGAGAAUUUUCAUCAUCGAGCU